This 497-nucleotide ribosomal RNA is filed under the name uncultured bacterium. RNAcentral describes it as "partial 16S ribosomal RNA". It matches the Rfam family "Bacterial small subunit ribosomal RNA", at positions 28 to 507 of the family's 1533-position model. The record is from RNAcentral.
GAUGAACGCUGGCGGCGUGCCUAAUACAUGCAAGUCGAGCGAACAGACGAGGAGCUUGCUCCUCUCACGUUAGCGGCGGACGGGUGAGUCACACGUGGAUAACCUACCUAUAAGUCUGGGAUAACUUCGGGACACCGGAGCUAACACCGGAUAAUAUAUUGAACCGCAUGGUUCAAUAGUGAAAGACGGUUUUGCUGUCACUUAUAGCUGGAUCCGGGCUGCAUUAGCUAGUUGGUAAGGUAACGGCUUACCAAGGCGAGGAUGCGUAGCCGACCUGAGAGGGGGAUCGGCCACACUGGAACGGAGACACGGUCCAGACUCCUACGGGAGGCAGCAGUAGGGAAUCUUCCGCAAUGGGCGAAAGCCUGACGGAGCAACGCCGCGUGAGUGAUGAAGGUCUUCGGAUCGUAAAACUCUGUUAUUAGGGAAGAACAAAUGUGUAAGUAACUAUGCACGUCUUGACGGUACCUAAUCAGAAAGCCACGGCUAACUACGUG